Homo sapiens (human) is the source of this 1680-nucleotide long non-coding RNA. RefSeq lists it as uncharacterized. The transcript has 3 exons. The record is from RefSeq and is a predicted model, not a curated record. NCBI's taxonomy places the organism in Eukaryota, Metazoa, Chordata, Mammalia, Primates, Hominidae.
CAGGCGUAUUAGGCGCGCGGGCUCCCAUCCUCAUGGCUAUGGGAAGCAAGUUUCCCUCAUCCCUUCUUGGAAGAAUUUUGUUCCUCUGACUUCAGCCUAAAUCGCACGAAGGAGGAGGACACAUCCACAAACUUGAGAGCGGGUGAGAGAAAAAAAAAAUAGAAGGAAAAGAAAAGAGUCCACGUAAACAAGAAAGGAGGCUGUUGCAGGCUCUCCCUGCAGCAAACCCCAAACGAUCUCGUUGCAGGGCGCCCACAAAAUCCCGGCUAUAAUUGAGUGUUUUCUUUGAGGUUUUCUGACCAUGUGCUUUUUACCAUGGUUACUAUGACUCUGAUUCCAGAAGCUGAAUAUUCAUCAUGAUCCCAUCCCAACCUUUCAGAAGGCUUAUCUCGUUGGUCCUUACAAAGAAGGAGAAUCUAAAGGGGGCUCCUCUGUGCCAGUGAUUUUAACCUGCUCCACCUUCCAGUGACCUGCCACAUGCUCCUUCUUACUUUAUAGACAUCUGGGAAUUCCAUACAUGCCUUAAACUCCAAUUACACACCUUCUUCAAAGGACACGUGCUUUGAUUUGCUAAGAACAUUAAGUGGGCUCACGUCCUUAGGCCUUGAGACAAAAGCGAGGGGAAAAUGGAAAAUGUAUCCCAUGUCGUUUUUUUUUUUUUUUUAAUUUAAACUGGGUCUAUCCUUUGCUGUCCAGUAAAUAAAGAUAGUUAAUAAUCCUCCUAUUUGCACAUUCGUGGGCUCUCAAAGAGUUGGAAGGUUUCUGAGAAAUAGUGGGAUUGCCGGCUUUGAGAAAAUAUGAAGAAACCGAUUUCUCCUUCCACUUUGCCAGUGCACUUUCCUUCCACUUUCACUGGUGCUGGGGGCGGCGCACUCUUUACGACAUAUAAGCGGAAAAUUCUGCAAAAGUGGCCCCCGGGGAUCCCCGCCCGACCCCUGUCUGUCGCUAAUGUGGGCCUGUCUCCGGAAAUUCGAGGUUGGGCCUUUGCCUGAAUCUGUUGCUAUUGCUCCCCUUGCUACCGCUGACACUUGGCACCGCCGCCUCCUAGCAGCGGCCAGACGCGGGGCUGGGGGCCUUCCACGCAAACCGAAGGAGAUACGGACAUCGUCAUUCUCCCCACCGCGCGAGCCGGGCCCGCCACCCACGCAGGGGAGACCGUGCCCGUGCCCCUCUCCCGCGCCUGCCGCAGAUGCAGGGAAAACCGCCUGACAUCAUGAGAGCGGGACAAACGCUCACUUUGAAGGAUUCCUGGGCAGGACUUCAAGUGAAAUCAUAUGCCUGAGAAGAACUUGAUACCGGUCUAGAGAAAAUAACCAGUUCUGACUUUGCCAAACCAUGGAAUGUGCAAAAUGCUCUACUUUUUUGCAAGAGGCCAAAUGUCCCUUAAAAAGCUCCAUUAUGAAUAUGAACCUUAAGACCGAAGGGUCAAGAAGCUUGUGCCGUUGUUGAGUGUGGGAAAAAAUUUACACACAUCGUGCAAGUUUCUGCUCCUUAACAUUAUUUUAUUAAUAAUACGUUCCACUUUGGGGAGGGGAACCUGUAACUGUGCGUGAAUUAUCAUCUGGACAUGUGCUUCUGUGAACAAAAGGGGAAAUGUGCAUAUGGGUAAAAAAAUUACUGCUUUCUUAUAACUAAAGGCUAUCAAUCUGACCAACUUAUAAAUAAAAGUAAUCAAUAGCA